RNAcentral lists this long non-coding RNA (370 nucleotides) under Homo sapiens (human). Lineage: Eukaryota; Metazoa; Chordata; Mammalia; Primates; Hominidae. The record is from RNAcentral.
ACGGCCCAGGGGCUCCCGCCAGAACCCGAGCCCACGCACACAAGGGUCGCGGGGCUGGGAAGCUCGUCAUCCAAGCCCGUCAGGGAGCCCCCCCAUCACCCGACCGCGAAAGGCUGAGAGAAGGGAGGGUUCGUGCCACCAGAUCACCCAGUAAGCUGCAGCAAGUUAGCAGUGGAACCUGGGCCUCCCGAUUCCCAUGGCAGCCCACUUCUGUAGCGCUGCUUCGUUUUACGCGAGGAUGGUUUCCUGAUAGCUUUCAAACACCUUUGCCAUCUCUUCGCAAACUUUCUAGAUUAAGAAUCCCUUUGAGAAUCUGAUACCUUUACCCCAGAAUAGAACAAUAAAUAACAGCUACCUUCUACUGACACUA